GACGAACGCUGGCGGCAUGCCUAAUACAUACAAGUCGAGCGAACAGAUGAGAAGCUUGCUUCUCUGAUGUUAGCGGCGGACGGGUGAGUAACACGUGGGUAACCUACCUAUAAGACUGGGAUAACUCCGGGAAACCGGGGCUAAUACCGGAUAAUAUUUUGAACCGCAUGGUUCAAUAGUGAAAGACGGUUUCGGCUGUCACUUAUAGAUGGACCCGCGCCGGAUUAGCUAGUUGGUAAGGUAACGGCUUACCAAGGCGACGAUACGUAGCCGACCUGAGAGGGUGAUCGGCCACACUGGAACUGAGACACGGUCCAGACUCCUACGGGAGGCAGCAGUAGGGAAUCUUCCGCAAUGGGCGAAAGCCUGACGGAGCAACGCCGCGUGAGUGAUGAAGGUCUUCGGGUCGUAAAACUCUGUUGUUAGGGAAGAACAAAUUUGUUAGUAACUGAACAAGUCUUGACGGUACCUAACCAGAAAGCCACGGCUAACUACGUGCCAGCCGCCGCCGUAA
Molecule: ribosomal RNA, 514 nt
Filed under: uncultured bacterium
Lineage: Bacteria
Description: partial 16S ribosomal RNA
Rfam family: Bacterial small subunit ribosomal RNA
Source: RNAcentral